This 429-nucleotide ribosomal RNA is filed under the name Actinomycetes bacterium. Its description in RNAcentral is "Actinobacteria bacterium partial 16S ribosomal RNA". It matches the Rfam family "Bacterial small subunit ribosomal RNA", at positions 355 to 776 of the family's 1533-position model. Lineage: Bacteria; Bacillati; Actinomycetota; Actinomycetes. The record is from RNAcentral.
UAGGGAAUCUUCCGCAAUGGGCGAAAGCCUGACGGAGCAACGCCGCGUGAGUGAUGAAGGUCUUCGGAUCGUAAAACUCUGUUAUUAGGGAAGAACAAAUGUGUAAGUAACUAUGCACGUCUUGACGGUACCUAAUCAGAAAGCCACGGCUAACUACGUGCCAGCAGCCGCGGUAAUACGUAGGUGGCAAGCGUUAUCCGGAAUUAUUGGGCGUAAAGCGCGCGUAGGCGGUUUUUUAAGUCUGAUGUGAAAGCCCACGGCUCAACCGUGGAGGGGCAUUGGAAACUGGAAAACUUGAGUGCAGAAGAGGAAAGUGGAAUUCCAUGUGUAGCGGUGAAAUGCGCAGAGAUAUGGUGGAACACCAGUGGCGAAGGCGACUUUCUGGUCUGUAACUGACGCUGAUGUGCGAAAGCGUGGGGAUCAAACAGG